UCGGGAAUUUUGGGCAAUGGGGGAAACCCUGACCCAGCAACGCCGCGUGAAGGAUGAAGUAUUUCGGUAUGUAAACUUCGAAAGAAUAGGAAGAAUAAAUGACGGUACUAUUUAUAAGGUCCGGCUAACUACGUGCCAGCAGCCGCGGUAAUACGUAGGGACCAAGCGUUGUUCGGAUUUACUGGGCGUAAAGGGCGCGUAGGCGGCAUGACAAGUCACUUGUGAAAUCUCUGGGCUUAACCCAGAACGGCCAAGUGAUACUGUCGCGCUAGAGUGCAGAAGGGGCAAUCGGAAUUCUUGGUGUAGCGGUGAAAUGCGUAGAUAUCGGAAGGAACACCAGUGGCGAAGGCGGCUUCCUGGUCCAACACUGACGCUGAGGCGCGAAAGCGUGGGGAGCAAACAGGAUUAGAUACCCCCGUAGUCCCUGAGCGGGCUGGCAAGGCGCAU
Molecule: ribosomal RNA, 447 nt
Filed under: uncultured bacterium
Lineage: Bacteria
Description: bacterial SSU rRNA
Rfam family: Bacterial small subunit ribosomal RNA
Source: RNAcentral